UAUACCUAUGGGACGCAGCAGUGGGGGAUAUUGCACAAUGGGGGGAACCCUGAUGCAGCGACGCCGCGUGGGUGAAGGAGCGUUUCGGCGCGUAAAGCCCUAUCGGCAGGGAAGAAGAUGACGGUACCUGACCAAGAAGCCCCGGCUAACUACGUGCCAGCAGCCGCGGGAAUACGUAGGGGGCAAGCGUUAUCCGGAUUUACUGGGUGUAAAGGGGGCGCAGACGGCAAUGCAAGCCAGGAGUGAAAGCCCGGGGCCCGAACCCGGGGCUGCUCUUGGUACU
This 283-nucleotide ribosomal RNA is filed under the name uncultured bacterium. Its description in RNAcentral is "partial 16S ribosomal RNA". It matches the Rfam family "Bacterial small subunit ribosomal RNA", at positions 334 to 634 of the family's 1533-position model. The record is from RNAcentral.